This 465-nucleotide ribosomal RNA is filed under the name uncultured bacterium. RNAcentral describes it as "partial 16S ribosomal RNA". It matches the Rfam family "Bacterial small subunit ribosomal RNA", at positions 28 to 507 of the family's 1533-position model. The record is from RNAcentral.
GACGAACGCUGGCGGCGUGCUUAACACAUGCAAGUCGAACGGAAAGGCCCUGCUUGCAGGGUACUCGAGUGGCGAACGGGUGAGUAACACGUGGGUGAUCUGCCCUGCACUUCGGGAUAAGCCUGGUAAACUGGGUCUAAUACCGGAUAGGAGCCAUUUUUAGUGUGAUGGUUGGAUAGUUUUUUCGGUGUAGGAUGAGCUCGCGGCCUAUCAGCUUGUUGGUGGGGUAAUGGCCUACCAAGGCGGCGGCGGGUAGCCGGCCUGAGGGGGUGGACGGCCACACUGGGACUGAGAUACGGCCCAGGCACCUACGGGAGGCAGAAGUGGGGAAGCUUGAACGAGGGGCGCAAGGCUGAUGAAGAGGCGCCGCGGGGGGGAUGACGGUCUUCGGGUUGAAGACUCAUUUCGCUAGGAACGAAGCUUUUUGUGACGGUACCUAGAUAAGAAGCACCGGCUAACUACGUG